CCUACGGGGGGCUGCAGUGGGGAAUCUUCCGCAAUGGACGAAAGUCUGACGGAGCAACGCCGCGUGAGUGAAGAAGGUUUUCGGAUCGUAAAGCUCUGUUGUUUGAGACGAAUGUGCAGACUUUGAAUAAGGGUUUGUAAUGACGGUAUUAAACGAGAAAGCCACGGCUAACUACGUGCCAGCAGCCGCGGUAAUACGUAGGUGGCAAGCGUUGUCCGGAAUUAUUGGGCGUAAAGGGAGCGCAGGUGGGAAUGUAAGUCAGUCUUAAAAGUGCGGGGCUCAACCCCGUGAGGGGAUUGAAACUACAUUUCUUGAGUGCAGGAGAGGAAAGUGGAAUUCCUAGUGUAGCGGUGAAAUGCGUAGAGAUUAGGAGGAACACCAGUGGCGAAGGCGACUUUCUGGACUGUAACUGACACUGAGGCUCGAAAGCCAGGGGAGCGAACGGGAUUAGAUACCCCUGUAGUC
This 465-nucleotide ribosomal RNA is filed under the name uncultured Veillonellaceae bacterium. RNAcentral's name for it is "bacterial SSU rRNA". It matches the Rfam family "Bacterial small subunit ribosomal RNA", at positions 338 to 795 of the family's 1533-position model. Lineage: Bacteria; Bacillati; Bacillota; Negativicutes; Veillonellales; Veillonellaceae. The record is from RNAcentral.